Molecule: ribosomal RNA, 310 nt
Filed under: uncultured bacterium
Lineage: Bacteria
Description: bacterial SSU rRNA
Rfam family: Bacterial small subunit ribosomal RNA
Source: RNAcentral
GAAAGCACCGGCUAACUACGUGCCAGCAGCCGCGGUAAUACGUAGGGUGCGAGCGUUAAUCGGAAUUACUGGGCGUAAAGCGUGCGCAGGCGGUUUCGUAAGACAGACGUGAAAUCCCCGGGCUCAACCUGGGAACUGCGUUUGUGACUGCGAGGCUAGAGUACGGCAGAGGGGGGUAGAAGUUCCACGUGUAGCAGUGAAAUGCGUAGAGAUGUGGAGGAAUACCGAUGGCGAAGGCAGCCCCCUGGGUUAGUACUGACGCUCAUGCACGAAAGCGUGGGGGAGCAAACAGGAUUAGAUACCCUGGUAG